CAGCCUCUUCCUCGUACAGUCUCCUAGCCCCGCCGGAACCAUCGCCGGUGGGAAGCGCAACCUAUGUCGUUGGCCACCAAAUCAACGCCAUUGAUACCCCUUCCUCUCCUCUUUCCAACCCCCACACCAUCAUCUCGCGAACUUCCCCCAGGCCGUCGAUUAUCUAUUUGAAGAUUUUUCGGCCACGACGUCAACUAUUUCAAAUCGCUCCAAACUUACACCAUUGACUCUCCUAACUUCCCUCAACCCAAAUAUAUGAACAUCUUGUCUCAAAUCUGGGUGGAAGUGCUCGAAUUUUAGUUUGAAAUUUCCAGCCAAAAUCCUAGGCGCUUUUAAGUACUCCAAAUUGAUGCAACGUGAUCUUCCGUCUUGCCUCGUGACGAAUUCAACGUUAGUAGCCAUUGAAUGCCAUUGAAGUUGGUCAAAUCUUAUAACAUGUGAGUUCCUCACAGUUUUUCUAUUUUUUUCUUUGUGUUAUUAUUUGACUCGAAUGCAGUUUUAUCUUCUCGGGUUAAUAAUUGCAGAUUGUUCUUGUUGCCUCUCGAAUUUCUGUUAACUGAUAAAUUUGGCAUUAGCUAGCAAUUAGUCUUGAUCAAUAAUUGGUUUAGUUUAGAUUUGUGAUGAUUAGGUCAAUGUUGUUGAUGAGUUCAAUUCUCCUUUAGUUAGUUAAUUGUUCCGCUUUGAGUUAGUUGUCAGUAAUGGUUCAUUAAUAAGUUAACCGUUCUUCAUUUGUUAGAAUAGUUCAAUUUGUUUUUUUUACUGAAUUUGUGAUAAUCAUUUGUUGGGUUGUUUGGAUUGUUGAUAGUAAUUGGGAGUUUGAAGAUUGUUAUUUAAUUGGAGAUUGGAUUAACCUUAGUUAAGUUCACCAAAGAUAGAGAAUUUAGAAAGUUAAGAUAGUAAUUGCAAAUAAAAGUUUAGGGGCAUUAUGGGUAAUUGACAUUGAACUUGAAAGUUGUAGGUUAGAGUAGAAAGCCCUAUAUCUUCUAGAAUAGGGUCAAGUGUAGGGUUUUAGUAAAUGUAAUGCAUUAACUUGUUACGUAGGUCAGAAAUCAGAGGACCAAAACAAAAUAAAAAAGGGACUAAUAGUGCAAACUGAAAAUCUGAGGGUUGACCCAUCUUUGCCUAUAAAGCAGCCCCAAUGCCAUAAUUCACAAGUUUGGGUAGCCUAAAAUUCCCCCUCUCAAGAUAUUCUACAGACUUCCAUAUCUACAAUUAAUAUUUCAGGUCUGAAAUUCCUUUAAAUCUCAACUUCUUUAAAAAGAAAAACUAAAAACAACAAAAGCUUCAAAAAAAAUGUACUACUAUAGUGUUUUUUAGGCAAAAUUGUUCACUUCCAGUCUCAUCUGUUUGUUGAGGUUCAUUGAAGUUUAUUAGUUUGUUUAUUGGGUUGCUUUGGGUCCAUGCAAAUUGAUUUUGAGUUGAAUUAGUGAAGCUGAUUGGUUUUAAAACAUUUAUGGACCAUCUGGUUGUGAUUUCAAGCUACUAUGAGUUAGUUCAAGCAGUGUUGGAUUGAGUUGCUAGUUUUCUGUUGACUUGUUGAAUAAUUUCUGGAUUUCGAACCUAUUCAUUGGCUGUUGGUUAUUCCAUAACUGUAGGAAAUUGCUUAUUGCUACUACUGUGCUGGGACCGACCUCCUUUGCUUCUAUUUGUGUCAAUUUCCGUGUACUUUUCGGUUUCCUUUGAUGUUGAUGGACUGAAUUUGUGUGUUGGUCGAUUGAAGAAAUAAAAUUCAAGUCUUGUUAACUUAAUGUUGAAUCUGUGCAAUAUCGUGCAAACUGGGAUUUUAGUUGUGUAGCAGUAAUAAUAGAGAAUUGGAUAAUUGAAACACUUUUAUAAUUUGUAGUAAACGAACUAUUGUGGACUAUUGAUUUGAAUCUGUACUCAAUUGUUCUGGAAGAUUUUUAUUAGGAAAUAAUAGUUGAUGCUUGAACACUUACGAGAAUUCAUCUUGUUUAGUAGUUAGUAGUUGAAUUUCAAAAUAAAUUAGACGGUAAUAUUGUCAGUAUAUGGAUGCCACGUUCGUUAGGUUAAGUGGAGUUGAAAAUUAAGUUGAAUUGAGGGUUCAUUUUCACAUUGUGGUUUGGGUAAAAUGUUGACAAUAUUAUUAGUUUUUGAUUGUAUUUGAGUGACUAAAUACUGUAACGGUUAAUGUGUUUUGGAUUUUUGGCUUGGAUCAAUUCAUUAUUAAAGAUUGGGGCUCUGAGGCUUCGAUACGGCAAUUCUGUGCAUGCGCACAUUGGGCAAGCGUAGGCUUCCCUUUGGAACUUUGGAGCACCCUUGCCCAGGCUCUAAAUCUGUUUUGCCCUCAACGGAAACGGGGCUGGUUUACGAGCCUGUUUCUUUGGGCCAGCCAUUUGUGCCCAGUUUAAAAUUCAAUACAUGGUUUACAUAAAAUUUGGGUUUUGAGUUAGGUAGCGGGUUCAAGCUAAAAGGCACCCCCUUUUGUUUGGACCCGGACUUGAACUUGAAGCCCGAAUUUUAGUAUUAAUUAAUUAAUUAAUUAGGUCUUUAUUUUCUUUUAGAGACAAAAAUAAAAACAGAAAAUAUAGUCUCUCUUAGGCUAACACUUUAUAAUAAAAAUGGGACAAGCCUCGGCCGAUGAAAUGAAAAAUUGUGGGGCCCUAAAUAAAGGUUUUUAAAUUAUUUGGAAAAUCAGGAAGGGUCGUUUAGUGAAUUUUACGACUCUCCCAAAAGAUAAUAAUGCGUUAGACUCUUUAGACGUGAUUUUAAUAAAAAUACGUUCCGAAACUCGGUUGUGCAUUUCAUGCGACCCAAAUAGAAUCCCAAAAUAUUGAAUAAAUUGUUUUUUGGAUUGCAAGUGCAUUUCAUGUGACGCAAUGCAAAGGCACGCUUUAAACAAUGUUCACCUUCCUUUCUUUAAAAUAAAUACACAUUGAAUAAAAGCGGUUAAAAAGUAAAAUUGGCACAUAGGUUCUUCAUGUAAUAAAAUUAGAUAAAUAAGCUAAAUGCAACAGUUGAGCGACCGUGCUAGAACCACGGAACUCGGGAAUGCCCAACACCUUAUCCCGGUUUAACAAAAUUCCUUAUCUAGAUUCUGGUUCGCAAACUGUUAACAGAGUCGUCUUAUCCUCGGUUAGGGAUUCAACCGGUGACUUGGGACACCAUUAAUCUCCUAAGUCGCGACUCUGAAUAAAUAAUAAUAAAUCUCGUUCUGAUUGUCCUUUAAUUGGAAAAACUCAUUUACUCCUCUUUUUAGGGGUGUAGGUGAAAAAGGAGGCGUGACAGCUCUGGCGAAUCUGCUGGAGAACAAGAACCCAGAACGUUUUGUUUAGGGUUCAAAUUCGAGCUUGGAAUAAUUGUUAUGUUUGGCUUUAUCUGAUUUUGUUACAUGAUCUGUGCCCAAUGUGCUAAUUUAUUGCUUUUUACCGCUUUGAUAUUAUGUGGACUGUAUAUAAACUGUGUCGAAACUCAUCUCCUCUCUAAGUCUUCUGAAUCAUGAAGAAGGGUAUACCUUGUACGACUUCUUUUCUGUAUAGAGUCAAAUCCCAAUUUAGAACGAGGUUUGAGUAAGUUGCAAAACCGGCGAAGCUUCUGUAUUCCCGAGAUGCUGCCUCCCCUCGGCUCGAGUUGUCCGCUCGAGUAAGCCAAGUCUAGAACAAACACCCGGGUUUUGAACCUAGAAUAACUCAGCCUCAUGCCGGAUCCCUAGUAGGAAUGCUUAUUUGCAUCAUGUUCAUUUUGACUUAGGGGACUCAACACAGGGGUUGGGUCCGUCUAGGGCUAGCAACCUAAAAUGAAAAGACCAUCCUGAUACAUCCUACUUGUUUUCUGUGCAUUUAUUUGUUCAUGCUUGCAUGUUGACCGGCUUCUGAAUCUCGGAAAUGUUAGAAAAUUAAAACCAAAAGAGAAAAAGAGAAAAAGAGAAAAAUAGCAUUUGGAGAGUUAAUUGAAUGUUUUGAAAAACCAAUGCUCAAGUACUGUCGAAACUCUGCUAAAAUUUUGAGAAAAUAAAAAAAUGUUUUGUUUUUAAAUAGUUGUUUUAUUCAAAAAGAGUCUGUCAUUUUUAGUUUUUGUUGUUUGCAAAAAUGGAAAAUGAAAAAUAGUUUGUUUUGUCAUGGGAAAAGAAAAAAAAGAGUCUUGAUUUUUGUUCUUCUUGUUUCAAAAUAGUUUAUUUGCCAACAAAAGCGAAAAUAAGUUGCUCUAUUGUUUGUUGAAAAUGAAAAAAGGCUUGUUUUUAAAAGUAUUUUAUUUAAUUUAUUUAUUUUAUUUGAAAUGCCAAAAAUGAAAAUAAAAAAGUCAUGUUUUAAAAUAGUUCGGUUAAUUUGUUCGAACUACGUCAGUUUGAUUCUCACAUGGUGUGGGAUACGUAGGUAACCCUUAUCGGGUCCAACCUCUCCUUUGCAAAAAUAACCAAAAAUAUCAAAAUUGUAAUUUUUGUCAUAAAUAAAUCAGGUGAUACUAUUUUUGUCAAAAAUAGCCAAAUCUUCCCAAACGGGACGUCAAAAGCCUGACCUUGCAUAAAUGGCCUUUGGUCAUAUUUUGAUUUUUUUACCCUAGCAGCCUUAAGUCUUCGUCCCUAAGGAGCUGGAAGGUCGUGUUUGUAUUACUGGGUCAUUUAUUUUAAUUUAAAAAAAAACAAGAAAGAGAGUCGGUGGUCAAGUGAAUACCGUUCGGAUUUUGGGUCAAAAUUGGCAUAUAGGGGAAGGAAUCUAUCAUUUUGUUUUUGGGUUUGUAUUUCUUUUGAUUAGAGUAUAUGGGUUGUUUGAUUUUUGAGUCUGUAUUUUAUCGUUAAAUUGGUUAGUUUUGUUGUUAUUAUGAAUAUGGAAAAUUCCAAAAAUGUCUUACUCUCGUUUACCAUUUAUUUUCAAGAACUACGCACGGUCUGAUUCAUGCGGGGUCAUGAAACGUAGGCAAUCUCCAUAAUAUUUGACCACAACCAAAAAAAUGGAAAAGAAAAUUGAAUAAAGAAAAAUUAAGAAAAACUGGAAAAGAUGUUGUUAAUAAUGAGGACCGACUUAAUCCAUUCUAACAUGUUCUAUUUUGAAUUGUGAAGAAAGUUGAGGUGGUUGGUUUGUGGUAACUCCUCCAUACAACACAAGGUCGAAAAACAAGGCAGUCAUGGCCAGCAAAAAGUUGAACACAGGUAUUACUUAUCCAUCUAGGGGCAUUGUUGAAUCAGAUCUGAGCUGAAAGAAGAGGUUUUGAGGUUGAAAAGACAGAUAGUCGGAAUGCACAAAGCUUGGGCCAGUGGGUAUCCUCCGCCAUCAGUCCCUGAUGCCCAACAUUAUCAUGCUCUUUAUUUUGAAUCUCCCUGUGAGACUCCAAAGCUUGCUAAAAGAAUGGAGUGGAAUAUCAUCGGUGCCCAACAUUAUGCUCCAAAACUAAUUGUCAAGACCUCGAGUCCAUACCAUCACGCUUGUCAUUUUGAGCUUCUCGAUGAGACUACGAAGCUUGUUAAAAUAGUGGAGCGGGAUGAGAUAUCCAGAAAGCUGGAAGGAUUUAAGAUGCCGAAGUUUAAUUUGUAAGAUGAGCGGGGAGAUCAAAUUUCCCACUUGAGGGAUUAUUUCAAUAAAAUGAGGUAUGUCGGCAAAGAAGAUUAGUUGUUAAUGUCACAUUUCAACGAGAGCCUGACUGGGGAAGCCUUGGAAUGGCAUGAUCGUCAAGAUGUCGGGAAGUGGCACACGUGGGCGAUAUAGUCAAGAUUUUGUGCAAAAUUUUCAUUACAAUAAAGACAUUGUCCCCAACCAGUCCUCCCCAUUUCAGACGUAAAAGAAACCCAAGGACAGUUUCAGGGAAUUUUGGGUCAGGUGGAACGAACAAGUUUCUCAGGGUACUCCUUCCAGUGAUAAAAAAGAUAUUAUUGAACCACGCCAACGACGGGGCCCCGUGGGAGUUCUUGGUAAAUGCUUUCAGCCUUAAUACCAGCCCCGUGAAUGUUCCCAAACUCCACAUAAGCCACCUCUGUACUAUCUACCUCUGAACCCCCAUACUCUGGUGGUCCUUCCCAAUAUGUUGCCCAGCCAUCAAACCACCCAAGAAAGUGAGCACGAGUAUCACAAAAUCUCCACCCGCCUCCAAAAAAUUUUCAAGUACCUUAUAACCCACAUCCAAGCUAGGGGUAUAGAAGGGAGCAAAAGCUGAAAGAUAGUUUUACACCUAUAGGAGAGUCCUAUGCAAGCUUAUUUGAGAAGUUAAAACAACAUGACAUGAUUGCACUCAUUCCUCCAAAUCAGGUGGACCGGCAUGCAAGAAGCUUUGACUCAACUAAAAGGUAUGAAUACCACUCCAAUGCUCUGGGCAUGAUGUGGAAAAUUGUCGGGAUUUGAAAAGAGAGAUUGAAAGGAUAAUCCAGGAAAAUUUGAUUCAAGACAGUGGCAUCCAGAAUAUCACGAUACAUACCUUACAUGAGGAGGCACACUCGGUGGGGAUGAGUGGCUAAGAUAUAGUACUUGGUAACUGGAAAGACGCUCCAUUCCUAAGUCAACCGAGAAGGAGCUUUGGUGGUCCAUUUUGCUGUCAUUUCUGUUACGUGCAAGAAGCUUUGACUCAUCUAAAUGGUGUGAUACCACUCCAAUGCUCUGGGGCACAAUGUGGAAAACUGCCGUGAUUUGAAAAGGGAGAUAGAAAGAAUGAUUCAAGAAGGGGUAAUUGUGGUUAAUGACAGUGAUAUGGAGCAUGCAAAUCCUCUUGGGAACAGGUUGACUGAAGUUGAUGAUAUCGAAGUUGGUAAUGAUCUUUGCAAUAUUGACGCAGAACUCAGUGGCUAAGAUGCCGAGCUUGGUUAUUAGAAAAACGCUUCAUCUCUUGGCCAGCUGGAGAGAACUCUUGGUGGUUUAUUUUUUUUGUCAUUUCUGUUGUCUGGAUUAUUUUCAGGGUUGUAAUUCCGAUAUCGUCUUGUGAUUCAAACCCUUCUAUCCUUUUAUUUGUCUAGUCGUCACAUCCUAUAUAGUGUUAUCUAGGUUUGUUUUAGGAUUGUACCCCAAUUUGUGUUGCUUGUUUUGUUGUCAACCCCUUUCUCCAUUUAUUAAUACAAUUCUAUGUUUUCUGCCAUUUCUAGUAAUUUUUGUUUAGUUCUCUUUCUUUCUACAAUUCUUUUCCUGCUGGUUCUAGUGACAUGACAUGCACGCAUAAUUCUCAAUCGGACUUUUAAAAGCUAUGUUGGUCGGGAAGCAAUGAAACCAUUUUAAGGACAAUGAGGACACUUGAGGAAAUAAGAAUAGAUUAGAGCGAUUAAAACAUAAAAAAUCCCCGCAAAAGAAAGUUGGCCAAAUUGAUAGGGGGCCAAUCGUGGUAAUAAGAGUAAAAGUGUGGCCUAAUGGCACAUUAUAUCAGGCAGAUUUAGGAAGAAAUAUUGGAAAUGACUGUCAAUUCCGAUGUAGUCAAGAGAUAUUGUGUAUGGUUUCGGUAUUUUGAUUGUACCUGUUUGUACUUGGCAUAUUUUGAGGGUUGAAAUGAUAAAGGCAUUUUGUUCCACUAUCCAAAUACUUUUUUCUAUCGUCACCCCUUUUGAGCCGUUUUUAUUUUCUUUCAUACCCCUCUUUCGAAAUCAACAACAAAAUCAAAGAAACGCAAGUACCAGAGAUAAGCAAACGGAAAAAGAUUGAAAAAAAAUGAAGGAAAUGAAAAAGAAGAAACAAAAAGGAAAAGAAAGGGAAAAGAAAGAAAGGAAGAAGAGAAAAUGAAAGAAAGUAAGAAAAGGAAAAGAAACGAAAAAAGAAAAGAAAAGAAAAAUAAAAGAAAGGAAAAGAAAAGAAAGAAAGAGAAGAAAGAAAAGAAGGAAAGGAAAAGAAAAUUGAAGAAAAGAAAGGAAAAGAAAAUUGAAGAAAAGAAAGGAAAAAAGUAAGAAAACAAAAAGAAAAGAAGAGAAAGAAAAUCACAACAACGUAGUAUCUAUGACGUGAACUAUGUUUAACUUGAUCCCUACAGAGUACGUAGGUAGCCUCUCUGAUGUUCAGUCAUACCAAAAUAAAAAUUCAAAAGUCCCCAAGUAAGAAACUGAGACAGAAGUUGUGAUUGUUGAAAGAAAUUGGAUUCCAAAGGUUGUACUUUUAACCCAUUUUGAAAAUUGUUUUGAGCCUGUGUAGCCCUUCUUUCUUGUCCCAUCCAAAAUCCCACAUUACGGUCCAAAGAAAUACCUUUCGAUCAAACUAUGAGAAAAUUCCAAUUCAAGCAGGUAAAGGCGAUUCAUGUCAGGGGAAACACUCCGGUUCAAACAACAAAAAUGAGAACGAAAGAAUUCACGGGUACCACAAGGCGAUUAAAGUUGAAAGAAAAGAAAAUGAGAGAGAAUUAUUGGUGAAAACCUUCACAUGCACCUUGAGGUGACGGUAUGUUGAGAGAAAGAGCAAAUGAGAGAGGUUUUGUUGGUGUAAACCCUUUGGGCACUACAAGCCGAAUAAGGAAUAUAAAUCAGAUUGGAUAAGCGGAGCAUAGAAGUCCAGUUUCACAGCGAAAGGUACAACAAGAGCUGAACAUUCGAAUUUAUUGACAGAAUGUUUACAGGUGUAUGUCAUGGUCAUUAGAGUUGGUAUCUACAUUCGAUAGGUUUCUAUUCCGUAGUUUUAUCUUUAGGACUCAUCUAUUUCCUUUUCCUUCACUCCGUCCCUCAGUUUUUAUUCACUUUCCCUUCUGAGUUUGUUUUAUCAUAACAAGUGGAAAUGACUUCAAAAUUUGCCACCAACUUUUCAAUUACACAAAACGGGGGCACAAGUCAGGAAAACAACAAGAGCAUUGAAUUGGUAAUACUCAACAUGCUUUAGGGGAGAAAUAGACUUCAGGGUCAAGGGGCCAGGGAGUUUCAACUUAAACAGACGACAGACUAUGGGUAGCAAUCAACAUGUUUUGGGGGUUCUUGUGAGGCACAAGGGUUAGUAAAAGUCAGUUCAGAAGUAGGGCAUCAAGCUGAAUGUAUAGGAUUUGAAUAUAGAAGAGGUAUGGUCUGUGCUAAGGAUGACAGAGGAAGUGGCUGGUCAAGAAACAGGCAGGGGCUUCAAAUGGGAAAUGAAAAUCAUGACAAGUAAGGGAGCAACAAACCUCAAGGCCAAGGCCAUCAUAUAUGCCAAGAAACAACAACAUAUUGUGGGGGCGAUGGACGUGCCGGGAAAUUCAUGUGAAAGACAAGGUUGGGGAGAUGUCGAUUCAUUCCAUAUGCACCUUAUGUGAUAAGGGCAACAGAAAAGGGGUUGGUCCAUAAAACAAGCAAGGUUUUCGAACAAAAAUCAAGCAUCACGGCAAGCGAAGCAGAAAUCACCGCAAAAUUCAAAACCACAAACCAACCACCACAUUAAACUAACAAGAUCUUUCUUUGACCAAAAUAGGGGCAAAAUUUCAUUUGUUUUAGGGAAACUCUCCGCAUGGGAAAGAUCAAGCACCAAAAUAGGUUUGACAGAAGUUCGAAUACAUUGUGGUCUUUAAAUUUCAUAUAUUUCAAUCUUUCAAUUUUAAGUGUUGAAGUGGGGAGCCCACCCCGAUAACAGAGGCAUAUAUUUAAGUCUUUAAAAUUUAAAUUUUGAAGUAGGGAGCCUGCCCCCAUAGUCUUUAAAUUUUAAGUUUUGAAGUGGUGAGUCCACCCCGAUAACAGAGGCAUACACUUAAGUCUUUGAAUUAUAAGUUUUGAAGUGGGGAGCUCACCCUGAUAAAAGAGACAUACACUUAAGUCGUUAAAUUUUAUGUUUUGAACAAGGGAGCCCGCCCCGGUAACAGAGGCAUACAUUUCAGUCUUUAGAUUUUAAGUGAUGAAGUGGGAAUCCCGCCCCGAUAAUAGAGGCAUACAUUUCAGUCUUUAGAUUUAAAUUUUUGAAGUGGGGAGCUCGCCCCGAUAACAAAGGCAUACAUUUAAGUCUUAAAAUUUUUAAGUUUUGAAGUGGGGAGCCCGCCCCAAUAACAGAGGCAUACAUUUCAGUCUUUAGAUUUUAAGUUUUGAAGUGGGGAGCUCGCCCCGAUAGCAGAGGCAUACAUUUCAGUCUUUAGAUUUUAAGUUUUGAAUUAGGGAGCCGCCCCCGAUAACAUAGGCAUAUAUUUAAGUCUUUAAAUUUUAAGUUUUGAAGUAGGGAGCCCGCCUUGAUAACAGAGGCAUACAUUUCAGUCUUUAGAUUUUAAGUGUUGAAGUGGGGAGCCCGCCCCGAUAAUAAAGGCAUACAUUUCAGUCUUUAGAUUAUAAGUGUUGAAGUGGGGAUCCCUCCCGGAUAAUAAAGGCAUACAUUUCAGUCUUUAGAUUUUAAGUGUUGAAGUGGGGAGCCCGCCCCGAUAACAAAGACAUACAUUUUAGUCUUUAGAUUUUAUGUAUUGACGUGGGGAGCCCGCCUCGAUAACAGAGUCAUACAUUUCAGUCUUUAGAUUUUAAGUGUUGAGGUGGGGAGCCCACCACAAUAACAGAGGCAUACAUUUCAAUCUUUAGAUUUUAGGUGUUGAAGUGGGGAGCCUGCCCGUAUAAUAAAGGCAUACAUUUUAGUCUUUAUAUUUUAAGUUUUGAAUUGGGGAGCCCGUCCCUAUAACAGAGGAAUACAUUUCCGUCCGUAAAUUUUAAAGCAUGCAAGUUUUAGUUUUCAACAUUUGUUAGUGCGUGGUAACAAGUCCCAGUUUUCCCAAACUGGGGCAGAAAGUUACUUGGUUAUUCUAUUUUUGUGAAAUCACGAGCCCGCCUGGAUAUUAGAGGAAUAUAUUUCAGUCAGUAGUCAGGAGCCCGCCUGAAGAACAUAGGCAUGCAACUCAAAUUUUAGCAAUCAGGAGUCCGCCUGAAGAAAUGAUGUGAUAUAAUUCAAAAUUUAGUUUUCAGUCAAUUUCUUUGUCUAAUUUGAAGUGAGGAGUCUGCUUGGAGAACGGAGACAUUCAAUUUAAAAAUACAGAAGUCAGGAGUCUGCCUGAAGAACAGAGAUAUUCAAUUCAAGUUUCGAAAAUCAGGAGCCCUCCUGAAGAACAGAGGUGAUACAAUUCAAAUUUUAGUUUUCAACCAAUUUCUUUGUCUAAAUUGAAGUCAGGAGUCCUCAUGGAGAAUAAAGACAUAUACUUCAAAUUUCAGUAGUCAGGAGCCCGCCUGGAGAAUGGAGGUGUUAAAUUUUUAAGUAGUUGAAAUCAGGAGCCCGCCAGGAGAAUGGAGGUGUUAAAAUUUUAAGUAGUCGAAAUUAGGAGCCCGCCUGGAGAAUGGAGGUGUUAAAUUUUUAAGUAUUUGAAAUUAGGAGCCCUCCUGGAGAAUAGAGGUGUUAAAUUUUUAAGUAGUUGAAAUGGAGGUGUUAAAAUUUUAAGUAGUCGAAAUUAGGAGCCCGCCUGGAGAAUGGAGGUGUUAAAUUUUUAAGUAUUUGAAAUUAGGAGCCCUCCUGGAGAAUAGAGGUGUUAAAUUUUUAAGUAGUUGAAAUCAGAAGCCCGCAUGGAGAAUGGAGGUGUUAAAUUUUUAAGCAGUUGAAGUCAGGAGCCCGCCUGGAGAAUGGAGGUGUUAAAUUUUUAAGUAGUUGAAAUCAGAAUCCCGCAUGGAGAAUGUAGGUGUUAAAUUUUUAAGCAGUUGAAUUCAGGAGCCCGCCUGGAGAAUGGAGGUGUUAAAUCUUAAGUUAUAGUUGAAGUCAGCAGCCAGCCCGGAGAAUGGAGGUGUUAAAUCUUUAAAGUAGUUGAAGUCAGGAGCCCGCCUGGAGAACGGAGGUGUUAAAUUUUUAAGUAGUUGAAGUCAGGAGCCCGCCUGGAGAAUGGAGGUGUUAAAUCUUAAGUUGUAGUCGAAGUCAGGAGCCCGCCUGAAGAACGGAGGUGUACAAUUCAAGUUUCAGAAAUCAAGAGCCUGCCUGUAUUAAAAAAGGUAUUUCGACACAAGUUUUAGUCAAAAUUAUUAUUAUUAUCCGGUAGCGCGUGCCCGUUUCCCAAAUUGGGGCAGAAAGUUUUCUUUAUUUUGUCUAUUUUAAUGAAGUCGGGAGCCCGCCUGCAUAACAGAGAAAUACAUGCAAGUUCAAGUUCAGCAGUCAGGAGUCCCCCUAGAUAACAAAGGAAUACAUUCAAGUUCAAUUUUAUUCAAGUCCAGCAAUUUGGGGAGAAGGAACAACAUCUCAGCUAGCAAUCGGAAGUAACAACAGUGGAUUUCACCAAGAGAAUACAAGACAACAAGACCACAAGACAAUAAGGAAGUACAAGAACAACUUUGAAGAUUUCAGAUAGGACUUUUGUAAUUCAUAGUUUAUAGCUUAGGCUAGCUUCUUUUUAUCUAUGACAUGGUGUAAUAUGGGAGGUCAGCAAGCAGUAGUAGCAAAAAGCGCAAAGAAAUCACAGCUCCUGUUAGUCCCAGCUACCAGACACUCCCAAACUACACUGACUUGAUUCCUGCUUAGCCUAGGAUAUGUAGACAACCUCUGAAGCAAGGUGUGGUCAAAACUUUUCAAAAUGCUUCACAACGAAAUAUUUAGGCAGGCAAAAAUCACUCGUAUUUGCUCAUUUAUCUUUGCCCGAAAACAUGAAAUAUUUUCGAGCAAAGAGGGGCAGAUGUGAGCACGUGAUUAUUUCCCUAUAUAUGAAUUAUUCCCAAAAAUUUCAAAUAAAAGAAUUUUACUUAUUUUUACAAGUUCUGUGCAAUUUGUAUCAUUUUCUGAUACUCGUUUGCAUUCUAUUUGUGCGUAUUAAUUCAUAUGAAAAUAUAAAAUAUGCAUUUUCAUUUUAGAUUUUAAUUUCAUAUGUUAGUAUUAAUUAUGGAUUAAUUUGUUUUAGAAAAAAAUAUGAAGAAAAUGACCAAAAGAUAAUUCACUUUUGCAUUUUUAGUUGUUCAAUUGUGAAUUCGUCCCGAAACAGUUUUUAAAAUAAUUUUAGGAAGUAAUUAGUUUAAUCUUGAAAUAUAUUAGGACUUUAUUUUAAUAGUUGCAAUUUUGUAAAAUCGGGAGAAAAUAAAUACACAAUGGAAAAAGAAUUAAAAAGAAUUUGAAAAUACAAAGAGAUUGGUUUGAAUUAAAUCCCAAAUUUGGGCCAUUUUUUCACCCAGCUCGCCAGGCCCAAGCAGUCCAGGCCCAAGCGAAUGCCCAACCCGGUCCGGUCCUAAGAGGGCUAAACGACGCCGUUUAAGGCAGGGUCAAUCACGACCCUUGAUCUUCCCUCAUCCAACAGCCCUUAAUUUUUGCUGGAUAAUUAUAUAAUGGUCGGAUUCUUUAAUUAAAUCAAAAUACAGCAGCCUCUUCCUCGUAUUACCUCCUAGCCCCUCCGGAACCCUCGCUGGCGGGAAGUGCAACCUAUGUCACAGGCCACCAAAUCAACGCCAUUGAUACCCUUUCCUCUCCUCUUUCCAACCCCCACACCAUCAUUUCUCGAAUCUUCCCCCAGGUCGUCGAAUAUCUAUUUGAAGAUUUUCCGUCCAUGACGUCAACUAUUCCAAGUCGCUCCAAACUUAUACCAUUGACUCUCCAAACUUCCUUCAACACAAAUAUAUGACCAUCUUGUCUUGAAUCUGGCCGAAAGUGUCGAAUUUCAGUUUGAUUUUCGGUCAAAAAUCCUAGGCGCUUUGAAGUACUACAAAUUGGUGCUGCGUGAUCUUCGGGCUUGCCUCAUGAUGAAUUCAACGUUUGCCAUUGAAGUUGGUCGAAUCUUAUAACCAGUAAGUUCCUCACAGUUUUUCUUUUAUUUUUCUGUUUUUGCUUUGUGUUAAUAUUCGACUCUGAUGCAGUUUGAUCUUCUAGGGUUAAUAAUUGAAAAUUGUUCUUGUUCUCUCUCGAAUUUUUGUUAACUGAUAAAUUUGGCAUUAGCUAGCAAUUAGUCUUGAUCAAUAAUUGGUUUAGUUUAGAUUUCUGAUGAUUAGGUCAAUGUUGUUAAUGAGACCAAUUCUCGUUUCGUUAGUUAAUUGUUUCGCUUUGUGUUAGUUGCCAGUAAUGGUUAAUAAGUUUAACUGUUCUUCAAUUGUUUAAAAUAGUUCAAUUUGUUUUUUUACUGAAUUUGUGAUAAUCAUUUGUUGGGUUGUUUGGAUUGUUGAUAUAACUGGGAGUUUAAAGUCAGUUAGUUAAUUGGAGACUGGAUAAACCUUAGUUAAGUUCACCUAAGAUAACGGAAUUUGGAAAGUUAAGAUAGUAAUUGCAGAAUAAAGUUCAGGGGCAUUCUGGGUAAUUGACAUUGACCUUGAAAGUUGUAGGUUAGAGUAGAAGGCCCGAGAAUCUUCUAGAAUAGGGUCAAGUGUAGGGUUUUAGUAAAUGUAAGGCAUUAACUUGUUUUGCAAGCCAGAAAUAAGAGGACCAAAAUGAAAUAAAUGAGGGACUAAUAUUGCAAACUGAAAAUCUGAGGGUUGCCUCAUCUUUGCCUAUAUAAAGUAGCCCCAAUUCCUUAAUUCACAAGUUUGGGUAGCCUAAAAUUUCCCCUCACAAGGUAUUCUCCAGACUUCCAGAUCUGGAAUUAAUAUUUCAGGUCUGAAAUUCCUUUAAAGCUCAACUUCUUCAAAAAGAAAAAUCAAAAACAACAAAAGCUUCAAAAAUAAAAAUAAUGUACCGCAAUAGUCAUUUUUAGGCAAAAUUGUUCAAUUCCAGUCUCAUCUAUUUGUUGAGUUUUAUUGAAGUUUAUUAGUUGGUUUUUUGAGUGGCUUUGGGUCCAUGCAAAUUGAUUUUUACUUGAACUAGUGAAUUUGAUUGGUUUUGAAACAUUUAUGGACCAUCUGGUUGUGAUUUCGAGCUAUUAUGAGUUUGUUCAAGUAGUAUUGGAUUGAGUUGCUAGUUUUCUGUUGACUUGUUGAAUAAUUUCUGGAUUUUGAACCUUUUCCUUGGCUGUUGGUUAUUCCAUAACUGUUGGAAAUUGUUUAUUGCUACUACUGUGAUGCGACUGACCUCAUUUGCUUCUAUUUGUGUCGAUUUCUAGGUACUUUUUGGUUUCCUUUGGUAUUGAUGGACUGAAUCUGUAUGUUGGUCGAUUGAAGAAUAAAAUCCAAGUCUUGUUAACUUAAUGUUGAAUCUGUGCAAUAUCGUUCAAACUGGGAUUUUAGUUGUGUAGCAGUAACAAUAGAGAAUUGGAUAAUUGAAACACUUUUAUAAUUUGUAGUAAGUGAACUGCAGUGGACUAUUGAUUUGAAGUUGUACUCAGUUGUUCUGGAAGUUCUUCAUUAGGAUGUAAUAGUUGAUGCUUGAACAUUUACGAGAAUUCAUCUGGGUUAGUAGUUAGUACUUGAUUUUCAAAAUAAACUGGACGGUAAUAUUGUCAGUAUAUGAAUGCCAAGUUUGUUAGGUUAAGUGGAGUUGAAAAUUAAGUUGAAUUGAGGGUUCAUUCUCACAUUGGGGUUUGGGUAAAAUGGUGACAAUAUUAUUAGUUUUUGAUUGUAAUUUAGUGACUAAAUAUGUAAUGGUUAAUGUGUUUUGGAUUUUGGGCUAGGAUCAAUUCAUUAUUAAAUAUUGGGGCUGUGGGGGUUUGGAUACAGCAAUUCUGUGCACGCGCACAUUGGAAAACGUAGGCUUCCAUUUGGAACUUUGGAGCACCCUUGCGCAGGCUCAAUAUCUAUUUUGUCCUUAAUGUAAAUGGGGCUGGUUUAUAAGCCUGGUUCAUUGCCCAGUUUAAAAUUCAAUUCAAGGUUUACAUAAAAUUUAGGUUUUGAGUUAGGUAGCGGGUUCACUCCCUUUUGUUUGGACCCGGAUGCGAACUUGAAGCCCAAAUUUUAGUAUUAAUUAAUUAAUUAGGUUUUUCUUUUAUUUUAAAGACAAAAAUAAAAAUAGAAAAUAUAGUCGCUCUUAGCCUUACCCUUUAAUAUAAAAAUGAGACAAGCCUCGGCCGAUGAAAUGGAAAAUUGAGGGGUCCUCAAUAAAGGUUUUAAAAAUAAUUAGAAAAUCAGGAAGGAUCAUUAGUGAAUUUCACGACCCUCCCAAAAUAUAAUAACGCGUUAGACUCUUUAGACGCGAUUUUAAUAAAUUUACGUUCCGAAACUCAGGUGUGCAUUUCAUGCGACCAAAAAUAAAUCCCAAAACGUGGAAUAUAGUGUGUUUAGGAUUGCGGGUGCAUUUCAUGUGACGCAAUGCAAAGGCACGCUUUAAACGACGUUCACCUUCCUUUCUU
RNAcentral lists this long non-coding RNA (15933 nucleotides) under Nicotiana benthamiana. RNAcentral describes it as "long non-coding RNA (NBEN_LNC013228)". Lineage: Eukaryota; Viridiplantae; Streptophyta; Magnoliopsida; Solanales; Solanaceae. The record is from RNAcentral.